AUUGAACGCUGGCGGCAGGCCUAACACAUGCAAGUCGAGCGAGAAAGGUCUUCGGACUGAGUACAGCGGCGGACGGGUGAGUAAUGCGCAGGAAUCUACCUGGUAUGGGGGAUAACUCGGGGAAACUCGAACUAAUACCGCAUACGCCCUACGGGGAAAGCGGGGACCGUUCGGGCCGUCGCGCUAUCCAGAUGAGCCUGCGUAGGAUUAGCUUGUUGGUGAGGUAAGGCUCACCAAGGCGACGAUCCUUAGCUGGUCUGAGAGGAUGAUCAGCCACACUGGAACUGAGACACGGUCCAGACUCCUACGGGAGGCAGCAGUGGGGAAUAUUGCGCAAUGGGCGAAAGCCUGACGCAGCCAUGCCGCGUGUGUGAAGAAGGCCCUUGGGUUGUAAAGCACUUUCAAUUGGGAAG
RNAcentral lists this ribosomal RNA (413 nucleotides) under uncultured bacterium. Its description in RNAcentral is "bacterial SSU rRNA". It matches the Rfam family "Bacterial small subunit ribosomal RNA", at positions 30 to 447 of the family's 1533-position model. The record is from RNAcentral.